GGCCCCUUCGUCUAUCGGUUAGGACACUAGGUUUUCAUCCUAGUAAGGGCAGUCCGACUCUGCCAGGGGUCA
RNAcentral lists this transfer RNA (72 nucleotides) under Patescibacteria group bacterium. RNAcentral's name for it is "tRNA-Glu". It matches the Rfam family "tRNA". Rfam says of the family: Transfer RNA (tRNA) molecules are approximately 80 nucleotides in length. Their secondary structure includes four short double-helical elements and three loops (D, anti-codon, and T loops). The record is from RNAcentral.